Macadamia integrifolia is the source of this 96-nucleotide small nucleolar RNA. RefSeq annotates it as small nucleolar RNA R24. The record is from RefSeq and is a predicted model, not a curated record. The transcript has a single exon. NCBI's taxonomy places the organism in Eukaryota, Viridiplantae, Streptophyta, Magnoliopsida, Proteales, Proteaceae.
UUUGCUUUCAUUGUUCACCAAAGAUUACAGCAGAGGUUAAACUUUUUUGCAGGAUCUUCAAUGAGAUGUUCUUGUUACGCUUGGCUUCUGAGCUAC